Molecule: ribosomal RNA, 755 nt
Filed under: uncultured bacterium
Lineage: Bacteria
Description: bacterial SSU rRNA
Rfam family: Bacterial small subunit ribosomal RNA
Source: RNAcentral
AUUGAACGCUGGCGGCAGGCUUAACACAUGCAAGUCGAGCGGAAACGAUGGUAGCUUGCUACCAGGCGUCGAGCGGCGGACGGGUGAGUAAUACUUAGGAAUCUACCUAGUAGUGGGGGAUAGCACGGGGAAACUCGUAUUAAUACCGCAUACGACCUACGGGAGAAAGGGGGCAGUUUACUGCUCUCGCUAUUAGAUGAGCCUAAGUCGGAUUAGCUAGAUGGUGGGGUAAAGGCCUACCAUGGCGACGAUCUGUAGCUGGUCUGAGAGGAUGAUCAGCCACACCGGGACUGAGACACGGCCCGGACUCCUACGGGAGGCAGCAGUGGGGAAUAUUGGACAAUGGGGGAAACCCUGAUCCAGCCAUGCCGCGUGUGUGAAGAAGGCCUUUUGGUUGUAAAGCACUUUAAGCAGUGAAGAAGACUCUUCGGUUAAUACCCGGAGACGAUGACAUUAGCUGCAGAAUAAGCACCGGCUAACUCUGUGCCAGCAGCCGCGGUAAUACAGAGGGUGCAAGCGUUAAUCGGAAUUACUGGGCGUAAAGCGAGCGUAGGUGGCUUGAUAAGUCAGAUGUGAAAUCCCCGGGCUUAACCUGGGAACUGCAUCUGAAACUGUUAGGCUAGAGUAGGUGAGAGGGAAGUAGAAUUUCAGGUGUAGCGGUGAAAUGCGUAGAGAUCUGAAGGAAUACCGAUGGCGAAGGCAGCUUCCUGGCAUCAUACUGACACUGAGGCUCGAAAGCGUGGGUAGCAAACAGG